This 72-nucleotide transfer RNA is filed under the name Chitinophagaceae bacterium. Its description in RNAcentral is "tRNA-Phe". It matches the Rfam family "tRNA". From Rfam's summary of the family: Transfer RNA (tRNA) molecules are approximately 80 nucleotides in length. Their secondary structure includes four short double-helical elements and three loops (D, anti-codon, and T loops). Further hydrogen bonds mediate the characteristic L-shaped molecular structure. tRNAs have two regions of fundamental functional importance: the anti-codon, which is responsible for specific mRNA codon recognition, and the 3' end, to which the tRNAs corresponding amino acid is attached (by aminoacyl-tRNA synthetases). tRNAs cope with the degeneracy of the genetic code in two manners: having more than one tRNA (with a specific anti-codon) for a particular amino acid; and 'wobble' base-pairing, i.e. permitting non-standard base-pairing at the 3rd anti-codon position. The record is from RNAcentral. Lineage: Bacteria; Pseudomonadati; Bacteroidota; Chitinophagia; Chitinophagales; Chitinophagaceae.
GGAUGAAUAGCUCAGUUGGUAGAGCAUUGGUUUGAAGCGCCAAUAGCACAGGUUCGAUUCCUGUUUCAUCCA